CCGCGGUGAAUACGUUCCCGGGUCUUGUACACACCGCCCGUCAAACCAUGAAAGUGACCAACACCCGAAGUCCGAUUCGUCGGCCUAAGGUGGGGGGCAUGAUUGGGGUU
Molecule: ribosomal RNA, 110 nt
Filed under: uncultured bacterium
Lineage: Bacteria
Description: partial 16S ribosomal RNA
Rfam family: Bacterial small subunit ribosomal RNA
Source: RNAcentral